RNAcentral lists this ribosomal RNA (253 nucleotides) under uncultured bacterium. RNAcentral's name for it is "partial 16S ribosomal RNA". It matches the Rfam family "Bacterial small subunit ribosomal RNA", at positions 524 to 776 of the family's 1533-position model. The record is from RNAcentral.
GACGAACCGUGCGACCGUUGUUCGGAAUUACUGGGCAUAAAGGGUGCGUAGGUGGCUUGUUAAGUCAGGGGUGAAAGUUUUCGGCCCAACCGGAAAAUGGCCUUUGAUACUGGCGAGCUCGAGUGCGUGAGGGGUAACCGGAACGAGCAGUGUAGCGGUGAAAUGCGUAGAUAUUGCUCGGAAGGCCAACGGCGAAGGCAGGUUACUGGUACGCAACUGACACUGAGGCACGAAAGCGUGGGGAGCAAACAGG